Molecule: small nucleolar RNA, 133 nt
Organism: Danio aesculapii
Lineage: Eukaryota; Metazoa; Chordata; Actinopteri; Cypriniformes; Danionidae
Product: U8 small nucleolar RNA
Exons: 1
Source: RefSeq, a predicted model, not a curated record
GCAUCAGUAAAGUUUCUCCUUACCUGUUGUUUUAGAAAUAAGACUAUGACACCUGAUGAUUGGAUUCUAUGAAUACUUGAUUGUAUUCUGUUUUUGUACGGGUCUUACAAUCCCUUUAUGAAUCUUAUCAGAU